Molecule: ribosomal RNA, 811 nt
Filed under: uncultured bacterium
Lineage: Bacteria
Description: bacterial SSU rRNA
Rfam family: Bacterial small subunit ribosomal RNA
Source: RNAcentral
AGAGUUUGGAUCCUGGCUCAGUAUGAACGCUAGCUACAGGCUUAACACAUGCAAGUCGAGGGGCAGCAUGAAAGUUUGCUUGCAAACUUUUGAUGGCGACCGGCGCACGGGUGAGUAACACGUAUCCAACCUGCCUCAUACUCGGGGAUAGCCUUUCGAAAGAAAGAUUAAUACCCGAUGUCAUAGUCCUACCGCAUGAUGGGAUUAUUAAAGAAUUUCGGUAUGGGAUGGGGAUGCGUUCCAUUAGUUAGUUGGCGGGGUAACGGCCCACCAAGACAACGAUGGAUAGGGGUUCUGAGAGGAAGGUCCCCCACAUUGGAACUGAGACACGGUCCAAACUCCUACGGGAGGCAGCAGUGAGGAAUAUUGGUCAAUGGACGAGAGUCUGAACCAGCCAAGUAGCGUGAAGGAUGACUGCCCUAUGGGUUGUAAACUUCUUUUAUAUGGGAAUAAAAUGUUCCACGUGUGGGAUUUUGUAUGUACCAUAUGAAUAAGGAUCGGCUAACUCCGUGCCAGCAGCCGCGGUAAUACGGAGGAUCCGAGCGUUAUCCGGAUUUAUUGGGUUUAAAGGGAGCGUAGGUGGAUUGUUAAGUCAGUUGUGAAAGUUUGCGGCUCAACCGUAAAAUUGCAGUUGAAACUGGCAGUCUUGAGUACAGUAGAGGUGGGCGGAAUUCGUGGUGUAGCGGUGAAAUGCUUAGAUAUCACGAAGAACUCCGAUUGCGAAGGCAGCUCACUGGACUGCAACUGACACUGAGGCUCGAAAGUGUGGGUAUCAAACAGGAUUAGAUACCCUGGUAGUCCACACAGUAAA